GGGUUGUGAGGUUAAGCGACUAAGCGUACACGGUGGAUGCCCUGGCAGUCAGAGGCGAUGAAGGACGUGCUAAUCUGCGAAAAGCGUCGGUAAGGUGAUAUGAACCGUUAUAACCGGCGAUGUCCGAAUGGGGAAACCCAGUGUGAUUCGUCACACUAUCGUUAACUGAAUACAUAGGUUAACGAGGCGAACCGGGGGAACUGAAACAUCUAAGUACCCCGAGGAAAAGAAAUCAACCGAGAUUCCCCCAGUAGCGGCGAGCGAACGGGGAGCAGCCCAGAGUCUGAAUCAGCUUGUGUGUUAGUGGAACGGUCUGGAAAGUCCGACGGUACAGGGUGAUAGUCCCGUACACCAAAAUGCACAGGUUGUGAACUCGAAGAGUAGGGCGGGACACGUGGUAUCCUGUCUGAAUAUGGGGGGACCAUCCUCCAAGGCUAAAUACUCCUGACUGACCGAUAGUGAACCAGUACCGUGAGGGAAAGGCGAAAAGAACCCCGGCGAGGGGAGUGAAAAAGAACCUGAAACCGUGUACGUACAAGCAGUGGGAGCACCUUCGGGUGUGACUGCGUACCUUUUGUAUAAUGGGUCAGCGACUUAUAUUCUGUAGCAAGGUUAACCGUAUAGGGGAGCCGCAGGGAAACCGAGUCUUAACUGGGCGUUAAGUUGCAGGGUAUAGACCCGAAACCCGGUGAUCUAGCCAUGGGCAGGUUGAAGGUUGGGUAACACUAACUGGAGGACCGAACCGACUAAUGUUGAAAAAUUAGCGGAUGACUUGUGGCUGGGGGUGAAAGGCCAAUCAAACCGGGAGAUAGCUGGUUCUCCCCGAAAGCUAUUUAGGUAGCGCCUCGUGAACUCAUCUUCGGGGGUAGAGCACUGUUUCGGCUAGGGGGUCAUCCCGACUUACCAACCCGAUGCAAACUACGAAUACCGAAGAAUGUUAUCACGGGAGACACACGGCGGGUGCUAACGUCCGUCGUGAAGAGGGAAACAACCCAGACCGCCAGCUAAGGUCCCAAAGUCAUGGUUAAGUGGGAAACGAUGUGGGAAGGCACAGACAGCCAGGAUGUUGGCUUAGAAGCAGCCAUCAUUUAAAGAAAGCGUAAUAGCUCACUGGUCGAGUCGGCCUGCGCGGAAGAUGUAACGGGGCUAAACCAUGCACCGAAGCUGCGGCAGCGACACUAUGUGUUGUUGGGUAGGGGAGCGUUCUGUAAGCCUGCGAAGGUGACCUGUGAGGGUUGCUGGAGGUAUCAGAAGUGCGAAUGCUGACAUAAGUAACGAUAAAGCGGGUGAAAAGCCCGCUCGCCGGAAGACCAAGGGUUCCUGUCCAACGUUAAUCGGGGCAGGGUGAGUCGACCCCUAAGGCGAGGCCGAAAGGCGUAGUCGAUGGGAAACAGGUUAAUAUUCCUGUACUUGGUGUUACUGCGAAGGGGGGACGGAGAAGGCUAUGUUAGCCGGGCGACGGUUGUCCCGGUUUAAGCAUGUAGGCUGAUUGUCCAGGCAAAUCCGGAUAAUCAAGGCUGAGGUGUGAUGACGAGGCACUACGGUGCUGAAGUAACAAAUGCCCUGCUUCCAGGAAAAGCCUCUAAGCAUCAGGUAACAUUAAAUCGUACCCCAAACCGACACAGGUGGUCAGGUAGAGAAUACCAAGGCGCUUGAGAGAACUCGGGUGAAGGAACUAGGCAAAAUGGUGCCGUAACUUCGGGAGAAGGCACGCUGGUGUGUAGGUGAAGUCCCUGCGGAUGGAGCUGAGACCAGUCGAAGAUACCAGCUGGCUGCAACUGUUUAUUAAAAACACAGCACUGUGCAAACACGAAAGUGGACGUAUACGGUGUGACGCCUGCCCGGUGCCGGAAGGUUAAUUGAUGGGGUUAUCCGUAAGGAGAAGCUCUUGAUCGAAGCCCCGGUAAACGGCGGCCGUAACUAUAACGGUCCUAAGGUAGCGAAAUUCCUUGUCGGGUAAGUUCCGACCUGCACGAAUGGCGUAAUGAUGGCCAGGCUGUCUCCACCCGAGACUCAGUGAAAUUGAACUCGCUGUGAAGAUGCAGUGUACCCGCGGCAAGACGGAAAGACCCCGUGAACCUUUACUAUAGCUUGACACUGAACAUUGAGCCUUGAUGUGUAGGAUAGGUGGGAGGCUUUGAAGCGUGGACGCCAGUCUGCGUGGAGCCAACCUUGAAAUACCACCCUUUAAUGUUUGAUGUUCUAACGUUGGCCCCUUA
Molecule: ribosomal RNA, 2219 nt
Filed under: Klebsiella pneumoniae
Lineage: Bacteria; Pseudomonadati; Pseudomonadota; Gammaproteobacteria; Enterobacterales; Enterobacteriaceae
Description: bacterial LSU rRNA
Rfam family: Bacterial large subunit ribosomal RNA
Source: RNAcentral